This 364-nucleotide ribosomal RNA is filed under the name uncultured Anoxybacillus sp. RNAcentral's name for it is "bacterial SSU rRNA". It matches the Rfam family "Bacterial small subunit ribosomal RNA", at positions 1019 to 1382 of the family's 1533-position model. Lineage: Bacteria; Bacillati; Bacillota; Bacilli; Caryophanales; Anoxybacillaceae. The record is from RNAcentral.
GGGGGGACGAGGGUGGACAGGUGGUGGCAUGGUUGUCGUCAGCUCGUGUCGUGAGAUGUUGGGUUAAGUCCCGCAACGAGCGCAACCCUCGACCUUAGUUGCCAGCAUUCAGUUGGGCACUCUAAGGUGACUGCCGGCUAAAAGUCGGAGGAAGGUGGGGAUGACGUCAAAUCAUCAUGCCCUUUAUGACCUGGGCUACACACGUGCUACAAUGGGCGGUACAAAGGGUCGCGAACCCGCGAGGGGGAGCCAAUCCCAAAAAGCCGCUCUCAGUUCGGAUUGCAGGCUGCAACUCGCCUGCAUGAAGCCGGAAUCGCUAGUAAUCGCGGAUCAGCAUGCCGCGGUGAAUACGUUCCCGGGCCUU